Molecule: ribosomal RNA, 515 nt
Filed under: uncultured bacterium
Lineage: Bacteria
Description: partial 16S ribosomal RNA
Rfam family: Bacterial small subunit ribosomal RNA
Source: RNAcentral
GAUGAACGCUGGCGGCGUGCCUAAUACAUGCAAGUCGAGCGAAUGGAUUAAGAGCUUGCUCUUAUGAAGUUAGCGGCGGACGGGUGAGUAACACGUGGGUAACCUGCCCAUAAGACUGGGAUAACUCCGGGAAACCGGGGCUAAUACCGGAUAACAUUUUGAACCGCAUGGUUCGAAAUUGAAAGGCGGCUUCGGCUGUCACUUAUGGAUGUACCCGCGUCGCAUUAGCUAGUUGGUGAGGUAACGGCUCACCAAGGCAACGAUGCGUAGCCGACCUGAGAGGGUGAUCGGCCACACUGGGACUGAGACACGGCCCAGACUCCUACGGGAGGCAGCAGUAGGGAACCUUCCGCAAUGGACGAAAGUCUGACGGAGCAACGCCGCGUGAGUGAUGAAGGCUUUCGGGUCGUAAAACUCUGUUGUUAGGGAAGAACAAGUGCUAGUUGAAUAAGCUGGCACCUUGACGGUACCUAACCAGAAAGCCACGGCUAACUACGUGCCAGCCGCCGCUGUAA